RNAcentral lists this unclassified non-coding RNA (355 nucleotides) under soil metagenome. RNAcentral's name for it is "partial contains 5.8S ribosomal RNA, internal transcribed spacer 2, and large subunit ribosomal RNA". The stretch from base 1 to 120 matches the Rfam family "5.8S ribosomal RNA", at positions 35 to 154 of the family's 154-position model. The record is from RNAcentral.
GAUGAAGAACGUAGCGAAAUGCGAUAAUUAAUGUGAAUUGCAGAAUUCAGUGAAUCAUCGAAUCUUUGAACGCACAUUGCGCCCAUUAGUAUUCUAGUGGGCAUGCCUGUUCGAGCGUCAUUAAGUCCACUUAAGCCCUGCUUAGUGUUGGGAGACUGCUCCAGCGGUGCUACCCUGUAGCUACCCUGCAGCUCCUCAAAGACAGCGGCGGAGUUGUGGUAUCCUCUGAGCUUAGUAACUUGUUCUAGCUUUCGAGUACACCACUUCCCCUGCCGUAAAACCCUUAAUUUUUAAUGGUUGACCUCGGAUCAGGUAGGAAUACCCGCUGAACUUAAGCAUAUCAAUAAGCGGAGGA